UAAGACACAGAUUGUCUCUUCUUCCGCAGGAGAAUAAAGGCCUGGCUUCCUUCUCUCCUGGCGUCUCUCCCAGAAUGCCUCUCGGGACCAUCAUUCUUCUUCCAUCUCCAGGGAUCGGUGCCAGCGCUAUGGGCAGAGAGAGGCUGCAUGGAAGCAGCAAAAAACGGAUCCUUCUUCCCUCCUUCUCCUCCCGCCUCCCCCAUGAAGAUGCAGUAUGUUUUGCUGGAGAGAUUCCGGCUGAAAUGUGACUCCCCCCCCCCCCAACCUGCCAACGGGCCAUUUGACUCAAGGCAGGAUAGGAGGGCACCCUGGGGCCUAUUUCUGUUUACUAGCGGGUAGCAGAAUUGCUCGCUCCAUUAAGGCUGGCAGUAGGACUGCAAGGCAGGCAGACUCUCUUCCUGCUCCCAGGCCUUGGGACAGAAGAUGCUCACCCAAAUUUGUUGUGAUGCUUGGACUGGAACUGCCUCACAGAGUCGAGGGGGGACACAUCAGCGCAGCACUGGAGCACUUGUCCCCAGUUCAAUUUACAGCCUCUCAACAGCAACAACAAACUCAAUUUAUGGAAGUUUUUCUCUGCCCCUCUCAUAAUACCAUACCCUCCAACAGUGCUUUCUUUCUUUAAAAAAUGUUUAGGGGUACUCUCAGUUUGACUAAAGAAAACCACCAUUUUAUAGUUCAAAUCGGG
Molecule: non-coding RNA, 685 nt
Organism: Podarcis lilfordi (Lilford's wall lizard)
Lineage: Eukaryota; Metazoa; Chordata; Lepidosauria; Squamata; Lacertidae
Source: the annotation of a GenBank genome assembly